CAGUAGCCGCGGUAAGACAGAGGAAGCAAGCGUUAUCCGGAAUGAUUGGGCGUAAAGCGUCUGUAGGUGGCUUUUCAAGUCCGCCGUCAAAUCCCCGGGCUCAACCCUGGACAGGCAGUGGAAACUACCAAGAUGGAGUACGGUAGGGGCAGAGGGAAUUUCCGGUGGAGCGAUGAAAUGCGUUGAGAUCGGAAAGAACACCAACGGUGAAAGCACUCUGCUGGGCCGACACUGACACUGAGAGACGAAAGUUAGGGGAGAAAAUGGGAUUAGAUACCCCCGUAGUCCCUGUCUCUUAUAA
Molecule: ribosomal RNA, 301 nt
Filed under: uncultured bacterium
Lineage: Bacteria
Description: partial 16S ribosomal RNA
Rfam family: Bacterial small subunit ribosomal RNA
Source: RNAcentral